This 314-nucleotide ribosomal RNA is filed under the name uncultured bacterium. Its description in RNAcentral is "bacterial SSU rRNA". It matches the Rfam family "Bacterial small subunit ribosomal RNA", at positions 28 to 339 of the family's 1533-position model. The record is from RNAcentral.
GAUGAACGCUAGCGGGAGGCUUAACACAUGCAAGUCGAGGGGCAGCAUAGGGUAGCAAUACUCUGAUGGCGACCGGCAAACGGGUGAGUAACGCGUAUGUAACCUACCCUGUACAGGGGGAUAACCCGGAGAAAUUCGGACUAAUAUCCCAUAACAAUAUCCGGGGCAUCUUUGGAUAUUUAAAGUUCCGGCGGUACGGGAUGGGCAUGCGUAACAUUAGCUAGUUGGUAAGGUAACGGCUUACCAAGGCUUUGAUGUUUAGGGUCCUGAGAGGGUGGUCCCCCACACUGGUACUGAGACACGGACCAGACUCC